Molecule: ribosomal RNA, 449 nt
Filed under: uncultured bacterium
Lineage: Bacteria
Description: partial 16S ribosomal RNA
Rfam family: Bacterial small subunit ribosomal RNA
Source: RNAcentral
AACGAACGCUGGCGGCAUGCCUAACACAUGCAAGUCGAACGAGAUCUUCGGGUCUAGUGGCGCACGGGUGCGUAACGCGUGGAAAUCUGCCCUUUGGUUCGGAAUAACAGUUGGAAACGACUGCUAAUACCGGAUGAUGACGAAAGUCCAAAGAUUUAUCGCCAGAGGAUGAACCCGCGUAGGAUUAGCUAGUUGGUGUGGUAAAGGAGCACCAAGGCGACGAUCCUUAGCUGGUCUGAGAGGAUGAUCAGCCACACUGGGACUGAGACACGGCCCAGACUCCUACGGGAGGCAGCAGUGGGGAAUAGUGGACAAUGGACGAAAGCCUGAUCCAUCACUGCCGCGUGAGUGAUGAAGGCCUUAGGGUUGUAAAGCCCUUUUACCCGGGAUGAUAAUGACAGUACCGGGAGAAUAAGCUCCGGCUAACUCCGUGCCAGCAGCCGCCGUAA